CAAGGCUUGACAUGCACGGGAAUGUCGUGGAAACACGGCAGCCCUUCGGGGCUCGUGCACAGGUGGUGCAUGGCUGUCGUCGGCUCGUGUCGUGAGAUGUUGGGUUAAAGUCCCGCAACGAGCGCAACCCCUAUCCUAUGUUGCCAGCGUGAAAGACGGGGACUCAUAGGAAAUCUGCCGGUGACAAAUUCGGAGGAAGGUGGGGAUGAGGUCAAGUCAUCAUGCCCCUUAUGUCUUGGGCUACAAACGUGCUACAUUGGCCGGUACAAAGGGCUGCAAACCUGCGAGGGUGAGCGAAUCCCAAAAAACCGGUCUCGGUUCGGAUUGGAGGCUGAAACUCGCCUCCAUGAAGGUGGAGUUGC
Molecule: ribosomal RNA, 362 nt
Filed under: uncultured bacterium
Lineage: Bacteria
Description: bacterial SSU rRNA
Rfam family: Bacterial small subunit ribosomal RNA
Source: RNAcentral